Long non-coding RNA from Anoplopoma fimbria (sablefish), 925 nucleotides. RefSeq lists it as uncharacterized. The record is from RefSeq and is a predicted model, not a curated record. The transcript is spliced from 3 exons. NCBI's taxonomy places the organism in Eukaryota, Metazoa, Chordata, Actinopteri, Perciformes, Anoplopomatidae.
GUUCAGACUCCAUGUUGAGUGGACAGAGCAGAAGGAGGUAAACUGAAGGCUGAGGCAGGACUGACUUCAGAUCAGAAGAUGAGUAAUCGUGUGGAGGAAGAGGAGGACAGAGCAGAGUCUCUAGUCUCCGGCUGUCUGUCUAUGAAGAGUGACACGUCCAAAGGUCUUCCUCUAUUCUUCAGUAAUGAACCUGGACCCUCAGACACAAAAGUUCAGUACAGACAGAGAGCAGAGUCUCCAGUAUCCAGCUGUCUGUCUAUGAAGAGUGAUUGGUCCAAAGAGCAUCCUCCAGACUUCAGUAAUGAACCUGGACCCUCAGACACAAAGUAAGAGACUGUUUUUACUGUGAGCUGACCUGAUGAAGAUGAUGCAUUGAGGAUGAAGACAAAAUAUUCUGCUCAAAGAUUUAUAUUGCUGAUGCAGAACUAUUAGUGCAGAUACUGUUUCAGACUAAGAUGAUCUUAGUCUGGGUUUUAUAGCCACAAACUACUGAUGUUUUUCUCUGGAGCAAAACACCUGAGAACCUCCAUUUCAGAAUUUACUCUUCAAGAAAAUACUCAUAUAUUUCUGCCCAAACUUUAUAGUCACUGUUCAUAAUGUGGGAGAAUGUGCUUCAAAUGUUUAAUUCAUGCUGUCAUAUUUGACUCAAAUCAGCUGUUCAGACCUACCAGGUGCUUCUUGAAUCAGUGCACAUCAUAACUGUGCAACAUGUGGUGAAAAAGCAUUUGUAGAAAAGCUUUGCUCACUUUGAUUCUGUGUGUUGAUGUUUGAGUUUGUUCUUUAAAUAACUACUAAAAAUGAAGCUCAAAGGUUUAUUUCCUAGUGGUUCAGAGCUUUCAGCUGAAAGCUUUAAAUCAUUAGUAAGUGGACCUUUGAGUUUAGAUUCUCUCCUCCAUAUAUUGUUCCUGAAGGUCAAGAACAAACA